RNAcentral lists this non-coding RNA (82 nucleotides) under Aggregatibacter segnis. RNAcentral's name for it is "Aggregatibacter sRNA 69". It matches the Rfam family "Aggregatibacter sRNA 69". Rfam says of the family: Validated by RT-PCR. Lineage: Bacteria; Pseudomonadati; Pseudomonadota; Gammaproteobacteria; Pasteurellales; Pasteurellaceae. The record is from RNAcentral.
ACAUAAUUUAGACUUGAGGUUGCUAUUUUUUUUCAGGCGAACAAUAAUAGUACGCGAAUACGCGGGAGUAAAUGCUUUUCUC